ACCAUUGCACACUUACAACCACUCACAUGAUAGGAAGUGAUUCACACUUGCGCCACGUCACUGCUUCGUCACUGCCACAUCAGGUUUUCUGUCAGAUUUUAUUAAAAAAAAUUCAUGUCACCUAAUUGCAUCUUCUUAACUACAACACUAUCAAACCACUGCCAUCGCCAUCAUCGUCAUUAUCAAAUUCAUAUCUCCACCACCAUAGACUCACUAACCACAACUAAAUUUACUAUCGGAAUCA
RNAcentral lists this long non-coding RNA (244 nucleotides) under Capsicum annuum. RNAcentral's name for it is "long non-coding RNA (CANN_LNC021678)". Lineage: Eukaryota; Viridiplantae; Streptophyta; Magnoliopsida; Solanales; Solanaceae. The record is from RNAcentral.